CGCCUCCUCCUCUACCUCCUCCUCUUCGGGCUCUGGGUCUCGCUCCUGCUCUCCCUCCUCCGUCGCGGCUAGCGUGGCCGCCUCCUCCCCGGGUUCCUCGACCGAAACCUCGGCCGCCUCAGCUACUACCAGUUCAGGUUCGGGCUCAGACUCCGGUUCGGGUUCCGGCUCUGGCUCACCGCCGCCGCACGGUCCGCGAAACUCGCCAAGGAAUAGCUCCAGGAAGCGCCGGAAGGAAAUGAUCUGGGCAUAUGAAGUGGUUUGCUGA
Molecule: long non-coding RNA, 268 nt
Filed under: Fukomys damarensis (Damara mole-rat)
Lineage: Eukaryota; Metazoa; Chordata; Mammalia; Rodentia; Bathyergidae
Description: lncRNA (ENSFDAG00000022020.1)
Source: RNAcentral